Molecule: ribosomal RNA, 433 nt
Filed under: uncultured bacterium
Lineage: Bacteria
Description: partial 16S ribosomal RNA
Rfam family: Bacterial small subunit ribosomal RNA
Source: RNAcentral
AACGAACGCUGGCGGCAUGCCUAACACAUGCAAGUCGAACGACACCUCCGGGAGUGGUGGCGCUCGCGUGCGUAGCGCGUGGGAACCGGCCCGUAGACUCCGGAUUACACCCUGACGGGGGUGCUAAUACCGGAUAAUGUCUGCUGAUCAAAGAUCUAUCGACCUAGUAUGGGCCCGCGUUGCAUGAACUAGUUGGUAGGGUAAAAGCCGACCAAGGCGUCGAUCGAUAGCUGGUUUGAGAGGAAGAUCCGCCACACUGGGGCUAGGACACGGCCCAGACUCCUGCGCAAGGCAGGAGAGCCUAAUAUAGGAAUAUGGGGGGGAGGCUGAAGCAGCAAGGCCGCGUGAGCGAUGUAGGCGUGAGAGAAAUAAAGCUCUUUUACCCGGGAUGAUAAUGACAGUACCGAAAGAAUAAGCACCGGCUAACUUCGUG